Molecule: ribosomal RNA, 393 nt
Filed under: Chirindia swynnertoni
Lineage: Eukaryota; Metazoa; Chordata; Lepidosauria; Squamata; Amphisbaenidae
Description: partial 16S ribosomal RNA
Rfam family: Bacterial large subunit ribosomal RNA
Source: RNAcentral
GGCCGCGGUAUCCUAACCGUGCAAAGGUAGCGUAAUCACUUGUUCUUUAAAUAAGGACUAGUAUGAAUGGCAUCAUGAGGAUUAAUUUGUCUCUCAAAACAAAUCUAUGAAACUGAUCUUUCAGUACAAAAGCUGAAAUAAUAACACAAGACGAGAAGACCCUGUGGAGCUUAAAGAUUUUCAGUUGGGGCGACUCCGGGGAUAAACAAAACCCCCAGACAGACCCAAUAAAUUGAUUAAUGAACCAAGUUACCCCAGGGAUAACAGCGCAAUCUUCUUUUAGAGUCCCUAUCGACAAGAAGGUUUACGACCUCGAUGUUGGAUCCGGAUACCCAAAUAGUGCAGCCGCUAUUAAUGGUUCGUUUGUUCAACGAUUAAAAUCCUACGUGAUCU